This 462-nucleotide ribosomal RNA is filed under the name uncultured bacterium. RNAcentral's name for it is "partial 16S ribosomal RNA". It matches the Rfam family "Bacterial small subunit ribosomal RNA", at positions 29 to 523 of the family's 1533-position model. The record is from RNAcentral.
AACGAACGCUGGCGGCACGCCUAACACAUGCAAGUCGAACGAAGCAUAAGAGCUUGCUCUUAUGACUGAGUGGCGCACGGGUGAGUAACACGUGGGAAUCUGCCUAUUGGUGGGGAAGAACUUUUGGAAACGAAAGCUAAUACCGCAUAAGCCCUAAGGGGGAAAGAUUUAUCGCCAAUAGAUGAGCCCGGGCUAGAUUAGCUAGUUGGUGAGGUAAGAGCUCACCAAGGCUACGAUCAAUAGCUGGUCUGAGAGGAUGGUCAGCCACACUGGGACUGAGACACGGCCCAGACUCCUACGGGAGGCAGCAGUGGGGAAUAUUGGACAAUGGGGGAAACCCUGAUCCAGCGAUGCCGCGUGAGUGAAGAAGGCCUUCGGGUUGUAAAGCUCUUUCAGAGGGGAUGAUAAUGACGGUACCCUCAGAAGAAGCACCGGCUAACUUCGUGCCAGCCGCCGCCGUAA